Molecule: ribosomal RNA, 619 nt
Filed under: uncultured bacterium
Lineage: Bacteria
Description: bacterial SSU rRNA
Rfam family: Bacterial small subunit ribosomal RNA
Source: RNAcentral
AGAGUUUGAUCAUGCCUCUGAUUGAACGCUGGCGGCAGGCCUAACACAUGCAAGUCCAUCGGUAGAGAGGUGCUUGCACCUCUUGAGAGCGGCGGACGGGUGAGUAAAGCCUAGGAAUCUGCCUGGUAGUGCGGGAUAACGCUCGGAAACGGACGCUAAUACCGCAUACGUCCUACGGGAGAAAGCAGGGGACCUUCGGGCCUUGCGCUAUCAGAUGAGCCUAGGUCGGAUUAGCUAGUUGGUGAGGUAAUGGCUCACCAAGGCGACGAUCCGUAACUGGUCUGAGAGGAUGAUCAGUCACACUGGAACUGAGACACGGUCCAGACUCCUACGGGAGGCAGCAGUGGGGAAUAUUGGACAAUGGGCGAAAGCCUGAUCCAGCCAUGCCGCGUGUGUGAAGAAGGUCUUCGGAUUGUAAAGCACUUUAAGUUGGGAGGAAGGGCAUUAACCUAAUACGUUAGUGUUUUGACGUUACCGACAGAAUAAGCACCGGCUAACUCUGUGCCAGCAGCCGCGGUAAUACAGAGGGUGCAAGCGUUAAUCGGAAUUACUGGGCGUAAAGCGCGCGUAGGUGGUUCGUUAAGUUGGAUGUGAAAUCCCCGGGCUCAACCUGGGAACU